Molecule: ribosomal RNA, 107 nt
Filed under: Periophthalmus magnuspinnatus
Lineage: Eukaryota; Metazoa; Chordata; Actinopteri; Gobiiformes; Gobiidae
Source: RNAcentral
GUAGGCUCCUUUUCAAAGCCUGAUCUUGUCAGAUCUCACAAGCUAAGCAAGGCUGGGCCUGGUUAGAACUUUAAUGGGAGACCACUGGGAAUACCAGGCAUCAUACU